GUGGGGAAUAUUGGACAAUGGGCGCAAGCCUGAUCCAGCAAUGCCGCGUGGGUGAAGAAGGUCUUCGGAUCGUAAAGCCCUUUCGACAGGGACGAUGAUGACGGUACCUGUAGAAGAAGCCCCGGCUAACUUCGUUCCAGCAGCCGCGGUAAUACGAAGGGGGCUAGCGUUACUCGGAAUUACUGGGCGUAAAGGGCGCGUAGGCGGCUCUGUUAGUCAGGCGUGAAAUUCCUGGGCUUAACCUGGGGACUGCGCUUGAUACUGCAGGGCUUGAGGCCGAGAGAGGGUGGUGGAAUUCCCAGUGUAGAGGUGAAAUUCGUAGAUAUUGGGAAGAACACCGGUGGCGAAGGCGACCACCUGGCUCGGUUCUGACGCUGAGGCGCGACAGCGUGGGGAGCAAACAGGAUUAGAUACCCGGGUAGUCC
RNAcentral lists this ribosomal RNA (425 nucleotides) under uncultured bacterium. RNAcentral describes it as "partial 16S ribosomal RNA". It matches the Rfam family "Bacterial small subunit ribosomal RNA", at positions 354 to 796 of the family's 1533-position model. The record is from RNAcentral.